Molecule: ribosomal RNA, 160 nt
Filed under: Amanita alliodora
Lineage: Eukaryota; Fungi; Basidiomycota; Agaricomycetes; Agaricales; Amanitaceae
Description: partial 28S ribosomal RNA
Rfam family: Eukaryotic large subunit ribosomal RNA
Source: RNAcentral
UUGACCUCAAAUCAGGUAGGACUACCCGCUGAACUUAAGCAUAUCAAUAAGCGGAGGAAAAGAAACUAACAAGGAUUCCCCUAGUAACUGCGAGUGAAGCGGGAAAAGCUCAAAUUUAAAAUCUGGCAGAUUAUGUCUGUCCGAGUUGUAACCUAGAGAA